This 254-nucleotide ribosomal RNA is filed under the name uncultured bacterium. RNAcentral's name for it is "partial 16S ribosomal RNA". It matches the Rfam family "Bacterial small subunit ribosomal RNA", at positions 524 to 776 of the family's 1533-position model. The record is from RNAcentral.
UACGGGGGGGGCAAGCGUUGUUCGGAAUUACUGAGCGUAAAGGGCUCGUAGGCGGCCAACUAAGUCAGACGUGAAAUCCCUCGGCUUAACCGGGGAACUGCGUCUGAUACUGGAUGGCUUGAGUUUGGGAGAGGGAUGCGGAAUUCCAGGUGUUGCGGUGAAAUGCGUAGAUAUCUGGAGGAACACCGGUGGCGAAGGCGGCAUCCUGGACCAACACUGACGCUGAGUGAGCGAAAGCCAGGGGAGCAAACGGG